Molecule: ribosomal RNA, 1443 nt
Filed under: Salmonella enterica
Lineage: Bacteria; Pseudomonadati; Pseudomonadota; Gammaproteobacteria; Enterobacterales; Enterobacteriaceae
Also listed under: 1 other name
Description: partial 23S ribosomal RNA
Rfam family: Bacterial large subunit ribosomal RNA
Source: RNAcentral
GGUUAAGCGACUAAGCGUACACGGUGGAUGCCCUGGCAGUCAGAGGCGAUGAAGGACGUGCUAAUCUGCGAUAAGCGCCGGUAAGGUGAUAUGAACCGUUAUAACCGGCGAUUUCCGAAUGGGGAAACCCAGUGUGAUUCGUCACACUAUCAUUAACUGAAUCCAUAGGUUAAUGAGGCGAACCGGGGGAACUGAAACAUCUAAGUACCCCGAGGAAAAGAAAUCAACCGAGAUUCCCCCAGUAGCGGCGAGCGAACGGGGAGGAGCCCAGAGCCUGAAUCAGCAUGUGUGUUAGUGGAAGCGUCUGGAAAGGCGCGCGAUACAGGGUGACAGCCCCGUACACAAAAGCGCAUGUGCUGUGAGCUCGAUGAGUAGGGCGGGACACGUGGUAUCCUGUCUGAAUAUGGGGGGACCAUCCUCCAAGGCUAAAUACUCCUGACUGACCGAUAGUGAACCAGUACCGUGAGGGAAAGGCGAAAAGAACCCCGGCGAGGGGAGUGAAAAAGAACCUGAAACCGUGUACGUACAAGCAGUGGGAGCACAGGUUUACCUGUGUGACUGCGUACCUUUUGUAUAAUGGGUCAGCGACUUAUAUUCUGUAGCAAGGUUAACCGUAUAGGGGAGCCGGAGGGAAACCGAGUCUUAAUUGGGCGUUAAGUUGCAGGGUAUAGACCCGAAACCCGGUGAUCUAGCCAUGGGCAGGUUGAAGGUUGGGUAACACUAACUGGAGGACCGAACCGACUAAUGUUGAAAAAUUAGCGGAUGACCUGUGGCUGGGGGUGAAAGGCCAAUCAAACCGGGAGAUAGCUGGUUCUCCCCGAAAGCUAUUUAGGUAGCGCCUCGUGAAUUCAUCUCCGGGGGUAGAGCACUGUUUCGGCUAGGGGGCCAUCCCGGCUUACCAACCCGAUGCAAACUGCGAAUACCGGAGAAUGUUAUCACGGGAGACACACGGCGGGUGCUAACGUCCGUCGUGAAGAGGGAAACAACCCAGACCGCCAGCUAAGGUCCCAAAGUCAUGGUUAAGUGGGAAACGAUGUGGGAAGGCCCAGACAGCCAGGAUGUUGGCUUAGAAGCAGCCAUCAUUUAAAGAAAGCGUAAUAGCUCACUGGUCGAGUCGGCCUGCGCGGAAGAUGUAACGGGGCUAAACCAUGCACCGAAGCUGCGGCAGCGAACGUAUCACCCAAGACAACUUUACGGAGUUGACGAUUGACGGAGCGAAGCGACGUCAAAGCGUUCAUUAAAGUCGAGUUGGCUUAGGGAUACGUUCGUUGGGUAGGGGAGCGUUCUGUAAGCCUGUGAAGGUGUGUCGUGAGGCAUGCUGGAGGUAUCAGAAGUGCGAAUGCUGACAUAAGUAACGAUAAAGCGGGUGAAAAGCCCGCUCGCCGGAAGACCAAGGGUUCCUGUCCAACGUUAAUCGGGGCAGGGUGAGUCGACCCCUAAGGC